CCCCUGGAUGUUCUGGGCCGCACGCGCGCUACACUGAACAGUUCAACAAGUCUUAACCUUGGCCGAUAGGUCUGGGUAAUCUUUGAACGCUGUUCGUGAUUGGGAUAGACCUUUGCAAUUAUGGGUCUUCAACGAGGAAUUCCUAGUAAACGCAAGUCAUCAGCUUGCAUUGAUUACGUCCCUGCCCUUUGUACACACCGCCCGUCGCACCUACCGAUUGAAUGGUCCGGUGAAAUCUCGGGACGGCGGCUUGGUCGCUUGCGUCCGACUGCUGAAACUUGAUUAAACCAUAUCAUUUAGAGGAAGGUGAANUCGUANCA
RNAcentral lists this ribosomal RNA (320 nucleotides) under uncultured eukaryote. RNAcentral's name for it is "partial 18S ribosomal RNA". It matches the Rfam family "Eukaryotic small subunit ribosomal RNA", at positions 1470 to 1796 of the family's 1831-position model. The record is from RNAcentral.